RNAcentral lists this ribosomal RNA (253 nucleotides) under uncultured bacterium. Its description in RNAcentral is "partial 16S ribosomal RNA". It matches the Rfam family "Bacterial small subunit ribosomal RNA", at positions 524 to 776 of the family's 1533-position model. The record is from RNAcentral.
UACGAAGGGGGCUAGCGUUGUUCGGAAUUACUGGGCGUAAAGCGCACGUAGGCGGAUAUUUAAGUCAGGGGUGAAAUCCCAGAGCUCAACUCUGGAACUGCCUUUGAUACUGGGUAUCUUGAGUAUGGAAGAGGUAAGUGGAAUUGCGAGUAUAGAGGUGAAAUUCGUAGAUAUUCGCAGGAACACCAGUGGCGAAGGCGGCUUACUGGUCCAUUACUGACGCUGAGGUGCGAAAGCGUGGGGAGCAAACAGG